GGCUUGUGCACAUGCUUGUCCUAUGUAGAGAGUGUUUUAAUCCACUACAGUAAAUAACUCCUGACAGUGGACUUGCAUGUUGCUCUCAGAUGUGCUGGAUGAGGGGAGAGAAAGGGAUAGUGAAUUGGCUACCAGAAAAUGUAUUUCUGCUUCUUCAGUUCCUGAGAAAGUUCUCUCUCUCCUGCAAACACGGACUUGCAGAAAGCUCUGGUGUUCCUGAGCUAUUGAACUGAAAUUUCUUGUUGGAUCUACUGACAACAUUUUAGAUUUUUUCUGACAAAUUUUCAAGACCUAGAAAUUAGCUGACAGUGGGAAAUAAAUCCAUCAACUUACAUGGUUUGCAGAUGAUACCAAACUGGAGGGAACAGUGAAUAUGCUGUGGGCAGUGCUACCAUACAGAACAGCCUAGGCAGGCUGGAGGAAUGGGCCAAGAGGAACCUUGUGAAAUUCAGCAAGGACAAAUACAAAGUUCCUGUCACCUGGGAAUGCUCAGCCCUUGCAUCAAUACAUGCUGGGGGUGAAUGCAGCAUGGUUACUGCAAGGGCUCUGGAGAGUCCUGGCAGACAGCACAUGGCCUGUGCAUCAGGUGUGUUCCCUGGCAGCAAAGAAGGCAAAGGCAUCCUGACUGCGCUGGAGACAGCACAGCAGGAGCUUGUGGGAAGGGAUUGUGCUCCUGCUCAGCACCUGUCAGACCACAUCUAGGCACUGUCUCCUUUUGAGUCCCUCCAGGAGAGGAGAAAUUGGAGCCAAGUUUAGCUGAGACUCCCCAGAAUGACUGGAGUCAGAGCUGUGUGAGGAGGAGCUAAAGGAACUGGAUUUAUUCAGCCUGGAGAAGAGGUGGCUUCAGGUGAACCUGAGAGCAGCCUGCCAGCAUCUAUGAGGGUAUCUUUAAGAAGACAAAGCAAGGCGCUUCACAGUGGUUUUCAGCGUGCCUGAAACAGAGGACUCUCUCUCUCUGAGUCAUUUGUGGACACUUCCAUAGAGCAAUAACAGUAGAAGAAUAGCAAUGGUAUCUGUUAUUGGAGUC
Hirundo rustica (Barn swallow) is the source of this 1027-nucleotide long non-coding RNA. RefSeq lists it as uncharacterized. Lineage: Eukaryota; Metazoa; Chordata; Aves; Passeriformes; Hirundinidae. The transcript is spliced from 4 exons. The record is from RefSeq and is a predicted model, not a curated record.